UUUCCGUAGGUGAACCUGCGGAAGGAUCAUUAAAAAUAUCACAGUUUUGUGAUUUAAUAAUCAUCCUACCUUUGUGAAUUGUUUUGUAAGAAAAUUUAUGUGUCUAUCCCUGAUGGUUUUUGGAAAAGUUGAAAAACUUUUUCGAAUCCUCAGGACUAGGCUUUCAUAGACCUUUUUUAAAUUAAACUUUUUGUAUUCAUUUGUCUAAAUUUAUUUUUAAUAAUUUAAAAACAACUUUGACAAUGGAUCUCUUGGUUCUCGCAACGAUGAAGAACGCAGCAAAAUGCGAUAAGUAAUGUGAAUUGCAGAAUACGUGAUCAUCAAAUCUUCGAACGCAUAUUGCACUUUUCUAGUUUACUAGAAAGUAUGUCUGUUUGAGUAUCAGUAAAAUAUUCUCAUAAAAACAUUGUUUUUUAUGGUUAUGAGUGUUUUACAACGAUAAACAAGUUGUUUCACUUUAAAUUGAUUUUUAAAAGCCAAUUUGGUUUAUCUAAUAAAAUUGGAUAAAAUUUUCCCGUAAAAGGAAUAAACUUUUCAGUUUUAAAGAUAAAACUUUUAAUUGAGCCUAAUUAAAAGGAAAUUUAACUAAAUAACUUGAUCUCAAUCAGAUAAGAGUACCCGCUGAACUUAAGCAUAUCAAUAAGCGGAGGAAAAGAAACUAACAAGGAUUCCCUUAGUAACGGCGAGUGAAGCGGGAAGAGCUCAAAUUUGAAAUCUUCAAGGUUCUACCUUGACGAAUUGUAGUUUAUAGAAGUGUUUUCUGUUAGUGGAGUGGCAAAAGUUCUUUGGAAUAGGACAUCAUAGAGGUGAGAAUCCCGUAUUUGGUCAUUCCUCCUAGCGUUGUGAUACACUUUCAACGAGUCGGAUUGUUUGGGAAUGCAGUCCAAAAUGGGUGGUAAAUUUCAUCUAAAGCUAAAUAUUGGCGAGAGACCGAUAGCGAACAAGUACGUGAGGAAAGAUGAAAGAACUUUGAAAAGAGAGUUAAACAGUACGUGAAAUUGUCAAAAGGGAAGCGUUUGACACCAGUGUUGUUUUUCCGAAAUCAAUUACGAAUGUUUUGUUUUUGAGGAGUUAUGACUUCAUCGGCUUGCUCCUUCUUUACGAAACUUUCUUAAUGCACUUUUCGGUUAACAAGUCAACAUCAAUUUCUUUUGUUGUAAAAGGGUAUGAGGAAGGUGCUUUCUUUUCGGAGAAAGUGUUUAUAGCCUUGUGCCUCUGCAAUCGGAGAGAUUGAGGUCUGCAGCGUAGAUCCUUCGGGUUAGAUACGUUUGUGCUAAGUUAUAGCUUUCAUAGACAACUUGUUGACUAUGUUUAGUCUUGUAGCUUACUCGCUGACGCUAUUU
Molecule: unclassified non-coding RNA, 1343 nt
Filed under: uncultured Neocallimastigales
Lineage: Eukaryota; Fungi; Neocallimastigomycota; Neocallimastigomycetes; Neocallimastigales
Description: partial contains small subunit ribosomal RNA, internal transcribed spacer 1, 5.8S ribosomal RNA, internal transcribed spacer 2, and large subunit ribosomal RNA
Rfam family: Eukaryotic large subunit ribosomal RNA (bases 596-1343)
Source: RNAcentral